RNAcentral lists this ribosomal RNA (1541 nucleotides) under Salmonella enterica subsp. enterica serovar Infantis. RNAcentral's name for it is "bacterial SSU rRNA". It matches the Rfam family "Bacterial small subunit ribosomal RNA". Lineage: Bacteria; Pseudomonadati; Pseudomonadota; Gammaproteobacteria; Enterobacterales; Enterobacteriaceae. The record is from RNAcentral.
AAAUUGAAGAGUUUGAUCAUGGCUCAGAUUGAACGCUGGCGGCAGGCCUAACACAUGCAAGUCGAACGGUAACAGGAAGCAGCUUGCUGCUUUGCUGACGAGUGGCGGACGGGUGAGUAAUGUCUGGGAAACUGCCUGAUGGAGGGGGAUAACUACUGGAAACGGUGGCUAAUACCGCAUAACGUCGCAAGACCAAAGAGGGGGACCUUCGGGCCUCUUGCCAUCAGAUGUGCCCAGAUGGGAUUAGCUAGUUGGUGAGGUAACGGCUCACCAAGGCGACGAUCCCUAGCUGGUCUGAGAGGAUGACCAGCCACACUGGAACUGAGACACGGUCCAGACUCCUACGGGAGGCAGCAGUGGGGAAUAUUGCACAAUGGGCGCAAGCCUGAUGCAGCCAUGCCGCGUGUAUGAAGAAGGCCUUCGGGUUGUAAAGUACUUUCAGCGGGGAGGAAGGUGUUGUGGUUAAUAACCGCAGCAAUUGACGUUACCCGCAGAAGAAGCACCGGCUAACUCCGUGCCAGCAGCCGCGGUAAUACGGAGGGUGCAAGCGUUAAUCGGAAUUACUGGGCGUAAAGCGCACGCAGGCGGUCUGUCAAGUCGGAUGUGAAAUCCCCGGGCUCAACCUGGGAACUGCAUUCGAAACUGGCAGGCUUGAGUCUUGUAGAGGGGGUAGAAUUCCAGGUGUAGCGGUGAAAUGCGUAGAGAUCUGGAGGAAUACCGGUGGCGAAGGCGGCCCCCUGGACAAAGACUGACGCUCAGGUGCGAAAGCGUGGGGAGCAAACAGGAUUAGAUACCCUGGUAGUCCACGCCGUAAACGAUGUCUACUUGGAGGUUGUGCCCUUGAGGCGUGGCUUCCGGAGCUAACGCGUUAAGUAGACCGCCUGGGGAGUACGGCCGCAAGGUUAAAACUCAAAUGAAUUGACGGGGGCCCGCACAAGCGGUGGAGCAUGUGGUUUAAUUCGAUGCAACGCGAAGAACCUUACCUGGUCUUGACAUCCACAGAAGAAUCCAGAGAUGGAUUUGUGCCUUCGGGAACUGUGAGACAGGUGCUGCAUGGCUGUCGUCAGCUCGUGUUGUGAAAUGUUGGGUUAAGUCCCGCAACGAGCGCAACCCUUAUCCUUUGUUGCCAGCGGUUAGGCCGGGAACUCAAAGGAGACUGCCAGUGAUAAACUGGAGGAAGGUGGGGAUGACGUCAAGUCAUCAUGGCCCUUACGACCAGGGCUACACACGUGCUACAAUGGCGCAUACAAAGAGAAGCGACCUCGCGAGAGCAAGCGGACCUCAUAAAGUGCGUCGUAGUCCGGAUUGGAGUCUGCAACUCGACUCCAUGAAGUCGGAAUCGCUAGUAAUCGUGGAUCAGAAUGCCACGGUGAAUACGUUCCCGGGCCUUGUACACACCGCCCGUCACACCAUGGGAGUGGGUUGCAAAAGAAGUAGGUAGCUUAACCUUCGGGAGGGCGCUUACCACUUUGUGAUUCAUGACUGGGGUGAAGUCGUAACAAGGUAACCGUAGGGGAACCUGCGGUUGGAUCACCUCCUUA